Molecule: long non-coding RNA, 224 nt
Organism: Mytilus californianus (California mussel)
Lineage: Eukaryota; Metazoa; Mollusca; Bivalvia; Mytilida; Mytilidae
Exons: 4
Source: RefSeq, a predicted model, not a curated record
CAUGUUUUGCAGUUACAUAUUUUCAUUGCGUCAUAGUCCUGUAUAAAAGCUGGAAAACAGCAGAGUAUUUCAUACAAUGAUUGUAUUUUCUCAUAUAGCAAACAAAGAAGAAUGAAGGUCUCUGUUUGUUUAGUCCUCUGUCUGUUGUUAGUAUCUGUGGGAGUCAACAUGGCGAAUGAAGAAAUGCUUGAAGACAAUGGCCUUAUUCAUGAGCUUGUAAAAAG